Molecule: RNA transcript, 2847 nt
Organism: Cynara cardunculus var. scolymus (artichoke)
Lineage: Eukaryota; Viridiplantae; Streptophyta; Magnoliopsida; Asterales; Asteraceae
Gene name: exopolyphosphatase
Exons: 9
Source: RefSeq, a predicted model, not a curated record
UCACGCGGACUUCCUACCGCCAAACACAGCAAAUCUGUGAUUGCACAACGAUGGCGAUGAACCCACUUAUUUUACCUUUCGCCACCGUUUCAUCCGCCAACAACCACCUCUUCGCCUCCAUCGACUUGGGGACCAACUCUUCCAAACUCCGUAUUGUCCGAGCUGACCCUACAACCGGUCGAUUUCUAACCCUCCAACGCCUCAAGGAACCCGUUGUUCUCGUCUCCGGUGGAAACACCACCGCCAUAUCCUACUCAGCCCAGCUCCGCGUCAUCGAAUCCCUUCGAAAGUUCCAGCACAUCCUCCACUCCCUAAACGUCCCUUCCUCCCACCUCCGCCUCGUCGCCACUUCCGCCAUCCGCGAAUCCUCCAACCAAUCUGAACUCGUACAACUCAUCCGACAAAGGCUAGGUUUAGAAAUCGACGUGGUAUCGGGAUAUGAAGAAGCCCGCCUUACCUACCUUGGUGUCUUGCAGUUCCAUCCGAUUUACAAUCACACAGUUCUUACAAUCGAUAUCGGAGGGGGAUCGACUGAAUUUGUUAUUGGAUUUCAAGGUAAAGUUAAAUUUGGUAUUUCAUUGAAACUAGGGCAUGUAACUUUGACUCAAAGAUUUGUUAGAAACAAGGCCACUGAGGCAAUGAGAGAGCACAUUAGGGAUGUCGUUAAAGAAUCAGGAUUAAUCGAAAAUGUUUUGCAACAUAAGAUUGAUAUUGCUGUUGGUUCCUCUGGUUCCAUCAGGAUGAUUGAAAAGGCAAUUUUUAUGGGUUAUAGCAGUGAUUUGGUGAAUGAGAUUGGUUUACUUGAAGGGUAUAGGAGGGAUUGGAAGUUCACAAGGGAAGAAUUAAGGGGUCUUGUUGAUAAGUUAUGUGAGGAGGAGAGUGAGGUUGAGGGAGGUAAGGUGGACAAUAGAAAAGGGUUUUUCAAAACAAGAUCAGCAUUUAUUGUGGCCGCAGUGAUUUUGUUGGAAGAGAUAUUUGGGUUGCUUGAGAUUAAAGAAAUGGAAGUCUCUGGUUAUGCAUUGGGAGAGGGUGUUAUUGCUGAGAAAUUAGCAGAGUUCUAUGAUGGAUUUGAUUUGAAUGCAAACGCAAGGUGGCGAUCGGUCUUGCGGCUUGCAUCAAGGUUCAACAAUAAGAAGAGGAUGACCUCUGCGGCAGCUUGUGCUUCUAUUGCACAGGGAAUUUUUGCAGGUUUAAGGAAGUGGAGUGAGAUUGAUGAUAAGCGAAAUCAACUUGUUUUAUUGGAUAACAAGGAUCUUGAAUAUCUUGAAGCUGCUUGUUUGCUUCAUAACAUUGGGUUGGUGACUGGGAAAAAGGGCUACCAUAAGCGAUCAUACCAUAUUAUCAUGAAUGGGGAGCAUCUUCAUGGAUAUAGUACUGAAGAGGUUAAGUUAAUCGCAUUGCUCGCAAGGCAUCACAGAAAGAAAUUCUUGCAACUUGAUCAUGAUCCUCUAAGUGAAUUCACAGAGGAGAUGAAGCAUAAGUUCAGAGUUCUUUGUAUAAUCAUCCGUUUGUCUGCAGUUCUAAAGCAAUAUCAGUCUCUGAGCAGUCAAGACGUUGAUUUAUCACAUUCUCUUGAAGGCUUCAAGUUGGUGAUCAGGGACACUAGCGGAGCAAACAUUGUUCAGUCUAUACCAGCAGCCAUUGAUGUGGAAUUGAGAGAAGAAUUGGAUCACUUUGAAAAGGUACUUGAGCAAAAGUUGUCUGUUGCAAUCUUAUCAAGCUCAUCAGGAUAGCCAUGGAACAUGAAGCUUUCAAAGGGAACUCUUCUAGUUUUGAUCAGAAAAGCAACUAGAAAGGCAUCAUAUGAUCAACUUGCAGUGACGAAGUUGAAGGCUUCCAAUGUUUCUGCUGUCUUGUUGAAAGUUGAAUGAACAACUGGAGUACAGUCGAUUUUGAGACCGGAAAGCAUACCGAAUGGGGGCCCAGAUGAUUUCACCCAAGUCAAGCUCCGGUGUGCAGGUACCUUAAACUUCCGGAAACUAAGGGACCGUUUAUCAGAACGCUUUGUAAGAGUCACCACUCUCACUAACCUUACCGGGUAAUAUUCUUGGCCAUUAAAGUGGCAUCAUAUGCAAUAAUCUUACCUGGUAAGCGCUUACCGAUCAGAGUCGUCCCCAUCUCUUACCGGGUAAAACUCCCAUUCCUUGUCUUGCCUCUUACCAGGUAAGAUUAUUGCGAUAUUCAUCUAGUAAGGUAAAUGACCCAGUAAAGACUUACAUGCUAAGCGUUUGAUAAACGGUCCCUAACUGUUUAUUUUAUAACAUACAUACUAUUAAAUGUAGAUUGAAUUAAUUUUUUAAUGGUUGUUUUUCCAGGACAUACCGUUGUAUUUCGACCAGGAGUUUUUGAUGAGCCCUUCAACAAACUUUUGCAAUGUGAUAGCCGACUAUUCAACUGCAAUCAAACCUCUCCAUGCUCACAAGUUGGGAGGAUCUACUCACUAGACAAUUUAUUGCUUUAUGCUGAUUGUGGUGCUUUCAGUAUCAUAAACAACUUAGAGCCAUAGAUUGUCUAAUGACUAAAUCCUCCUAACUUGUGAGCAUGGACAGGAUCUUGACUAUGCAGUUGAAUAGUCGGCUAUCACAUUGGUGCACCACAAGUAGCGCAGUACAAUAGAUUGUCUAGUGACUAGAUCCUCCCAAUACAAUUCAGUCAUUGAUCUCAUUGUCUUUUUUUUUUCAAUAUCACGCCAUAAACAUCAUUUGUGCACAACUAUCACAUGUUUUGCAAUAGAAUUUUCCGGCAAAUACGACCAAAAUAUACGGAAUGUUUUGGAAGGAAACUUAUCGUUAUUUUCAUUCCCUUUCCUUUCUUUUGUCUGCUAAAAAGUUUUAAGAAGACGAGUAU